This 494-nucleotide ribosomal RNA is filed under the name uncultured bacterium. RNAcentral's name for it is "partial 16S ribosomal RNA". It matches the Rfam family "Bacterial small subunit ribosomal RNA", at positions 28 to 507 of the family's 1533-position model. The record is from RNAcentral.
GACGAACGCUGGCGGCGUGCUUAACACAUGCAAGUCGAACGGUGAAGCGCCUUCCUUUUUGGUGGGUGUGGAUGAGUGGCGAACGGGUGAGUAACACGUGAGUAACCUGCCCCCUUCUUCUGGAUAACCGCAUGAAAGUGUGGCUAAUACGGGAUAUUCUGGGUCUGUCGCAUGAUGGGUCUGGGAAAGAUAUUGCUUCGGUGGGGGAUGGGCUCGCGGCCUAUCAGCUUGUUGGUGGGGUGAUGGCCUACCAAGGCGGUGACGGGUAGCCGGCCUGAGAGGGUGGACGGUCACACUGGGACUGAGACACGGCCCAGACUACUACGGGAGGCAGCAGGGGGGAAUAUUGCACAAUGGGCGCAAGCCUGAUGCAGCGACGCCGCGGGAGGGAUGGAGGCCUUCGGGUUGUGAACCUCUUUCGCCAGUGAAGCAGGCCUGCCUCGUUUGUGGGUGGGUUGACGGUAGCUGGAUAAGAAGCGCCGGCUAACUACGUG